CUCUUGUUUUGACAGAUUGAAACUCUAAAAAAAAAAAUUCGGAGAUGGCGAUUCCCGUCCACUCGUUCCUCUCGGAUUUGAUCUGGUGUUGGGUCCAUGUGAUUUCCGAUGACUUCCGAGUACAAAUCGGUCAGAUUGUAAUACUGAAACAAUACCCGACAAACAUGUUCUUAUUUUUAUAUGCAUGGCAAAUAUGGAUCAAGUCUUUAUUUAGGUGAACAUUAUCAAAUGUGAGAAGGAUAUAUUCUAAAAGAGCAGAUGAAUCACCAAACUAAAAAGUCAGAGCAGAUGAAUCACCAAUGUCAAAAGUCAGUGUAUUUACAAUCAAGAUUCAAACUCGUUUUAAAGAGCUGGAAAGGCAUUUAUAAUAUAGACCAUGAUGAUUCAAAGUCAAUAAUAAGGAGAUAAGUCGAACUUUUUAUAAUAUAUUCUUUUAGUAGUUGGGUCAAGUUGCUAACUUUUGAUGAAACAUCCUCUAUGUUGUUAUGCUUAUGGUUCUUAGUUUUGAUUGUAGGAUUUAAAAAACAUAAUCAUCGUAUAGUAAACUGACAUCAACAUCUAUUUGGAGAAGAUCAGAACGCGUAUACACUCCUAUUAUUAACUUUAGUAUGGUUUCAAAAUCAACCAAAUCCAGAAAAUUAUCAUCAAUCCGGAGAGUUGACUCCGAGAUGUCCGUGUUGUGAAGGAAAUUCAUUUUCAAAGGAUUUUUGGUUGUUCGAAAUGUACGGGGAGCAUUCGUCAAACUGAAGUUAUCAAUGUUGAUCCACUCUCCAACAGGAACUUUCGUAGCCAACUCAUCCAUAACUUUGACUUGUACCCGAUAAGAUGUAAAACGUGGUUUGAUAUCGUUCAAGAAGGUAAUCUGCAUAUUGUUAACCAUGAUUUUCUGAAUCGUUUUUUCUUUUCUUGUGAGGAGUUUGAGUUUGAUUUUGAUAAAGAUGGAUGUUAAAGGGUUGAGAGUAAGAUUGUAUUUAUAAUAUAGGAGGGGUUUAUAGUCGAUCAACCAUAAUUGAAUAUUUUGUAAUCAAAUUGGUUAUCUUAUUUUAAGGAAUAAAAUCUAAGCAAGCAUCAAUUAGUUAUUUUGGUUGAUAGAUUUUAGGUAAAU
Brassica oleracea var. oleracea is the source of this 1105-nucleotide long non-coding RNA. RefSeq lists it as uncharacterized. The record is from RefSeq and is a predicted model, not a curated record. The transcript has 7 exons. Lineage: Eukaryota; Viridiplantae; Streptophyta; Magnoliopsida; Brassicales; Brassicaceae.